RNAcentral lists this ribosomal RNA (436 nucleotides) under uncultured bacterium. Its description in RNAcentral is "bacterial SSU rRNA". It matches the Rfam family "Bacterial small subunit ribosomal RNA", at positions 340 to 786 of the family's 1533-position model. The record is from RNAcentral.
UACGGAAGGCAGCAGGGGGAAUAUUGCACAAUGGGCGGAAGCCUGAUGCAGCGACGCCGCGUGAGGGAUGACGGCCUUCGGGUUGUAAACCUCUUUCAGCACGGAAGAAGCGAGAGUGACGGUACGUGCAGAAGAAGCGCCGGCUAACUACGUGCCAGCAGCCGCGGUAAUACGGAGGGUGCUAGCGUUAAUCAGAAUUACUGGGCGUAAAGAGCACGUAGGUGGUUUUUUUAAGUCAGAUGUGAAAUCCCUGGGCUUAACCUAGGAACUGCAUUUUGAAACUGAAAUACUAGAGUAUCGUAGAGGGAGGUAGAAUUCUAGGUGUAGCGGUGAAAUGCGUAGAUAUCUGGAGGAAUACCUGUGGCGAAAGCGGCCUCCUAAACGAAUACUGACACUGAGGUGCGAAAGCGUGGGGAGCAAACAGGGAUUAGAUACC